RNAcentral lists this transfer RNA (73 nucleotides) under Noviherbaspirillum autotrophicum. RNAcentral describes it as "Herbaspirillum sp. TSA66 tRNA". It matches the Rfam family "tRNA". Rfam says of the family: Transfer RNA (tRNA) molecules are approximately 80 nucleotides in length. Their secondary structure includes four short double-helical elements and three loops (D, anti-codon, and T loops). Lineage: Bacteria; Pseudomonadati; Pseudomonadota; Betaproteobacteria; Burkholderiales; Oxalobacteraceae. The record is from Rfam by way of RNAcentral. RNAcentral also lists the same sequence under 1 other name.
GGCCCGGUAGCUCAGUUGGUAGAGCAGAGGAUUGAAAAUCCUUGUGUCGGUGGUUCGAUUCCGCCCCAGGCCA